This 497-nucleotide ribosomal RNA is filed under the name uncultured bacterium. RNAcentral's name for it is "partial 16S ribosomal RNA". It matches the Rfam family "Bacterial small subunit ribosomal RNA", at positions 28 to 507 of the family's 1533-position model. The record is from RNAcentral.
GAUGAACGCUGGCGGCGUGCCUAAUACAUGCAAGUCGAGCGAACAGACGAGGAGCUUGCUCCUCUGACGUUAGCGGCGGACGGGUGAGUAACACGUGGAUAACCUACCUAUAAGACUGGGAUAACUUCGGGAAACCGGAGCUAAUACCGGAUAAUAUAUUGAACCGCAUGGUUCAAUAGUGAAAGACGGUUUUGCUGUCACUUAUAGAUGGAUCCGCGCCGCAUUAGCUAGUUGGUAAGGUAACGGCUUACCAAGGCGACGAUGCGUAGCCGACCUGAGAGAGUGAUCGGCCACACUGGAACUGGGACACGGUCCAGACUCCUACGGGAGGCAGCAGUAGGGAAUCUUCCGCAAUGGGCGAGAGCCUGACGGAGCAACGCCGCGUGAGUGAUGAAGGUCUUCGGAUCGUAAAACUCUGUUAUUAGGGAAGAACAAAUGUGUAAGUAACUAUGCACGUCUUGACGGUACCUAAUCAGAAAGCCACGGCUAACUACGUG